Molecule: ribosomal RNA, 1021 nt
Filed under: Xanthomonas campestris pv. campestris
Lineage: Bacteria; Pseudomonadati; Pseudomonadota; Gammaproteobacteria; Lysobacterales; Lysobacteraceae
Description: bacterial SSU rRNA
Rfam family: Bacterial small subunit ribosomal RNA
Source: RNAcentral
GUCGAACGGCAGCACAGUAAGAGCUUGCUCUUAUGGGUGGCGAGUGGCGGACGGGUGAGGAAUACAUCGGAAUCUACUCUUUCGUGGGGGAUAACGUAGGGAAACUUACGCUAAUACCGCAUACGACCUACGGGUGAAAGCGGAGGACCUUCGGGCUUCGCGCGAUUGAAUGAGCCGAUGUCGGAUUAGCUAGUUGGCGGGGUAAAGGCCCACCAAGGCGACGAUCCGUAGCUGGUCUGAGAGGAUGAUCAGCCACACUGGAACUGAGACACGGUCCAGACUCCUACGGGAGGCAGCAGUGGGGAAUAUUGGACAAUGGGCGCAAGCCUGAUCCAGCCAUGCCGCGUGGGUGAAGAAGGCCUUCGGGUUGUAAAGCCCUUUUGUUGGGAAAGAAAAGCAGUCGGUUAAUACCCGAUUGUUCUGACGGUACCCAAAGAAUAAGCACCGGCUAACUUCGUGCCAGCAGCCGCGGUAAUACGAAGGGUGCAAGCGUUACUCGGAAUUACUGGGCGUAAAGCGUGCGUAGGUGGUGGUUUAAGUCUGUUGUGAAAGCCCUGGGCUCAACCUGGGAAUUGCAGUGGAUACUGGGUCACUAGAGUGUGGUAGAGGGUAGCGGAAUUCCCGGUGUAGCAGUGAAAUGCGUAGAGAUCGGGAGGAACAUCCGUGGCGAAGGCGGCUACCUGGACCAACACUGACACUGAGGCACGAAAGCGUGGGGAGCAAACAGGAUUAGAUACCCUGGUAGUCCACGCCCUAAACGAUGCGAACUGGAUGUUGGGUGCAAUUUGGCACGCAGUAUCGAAGCUAACGCGUUAAGUUCGCCGCCUGGGGAGUACGGUCGCAAGACUGAAACUCAAAGGAAUUGACGGGGGCCCGCACAAGCGGUGGAGUAUGUGGUUUAAUUCGAUGCAACGCGAAGAACCUUACCUGGUCUUGACAUCCACGGAACUUUCCAGAGAUGGAUUGGUGCCUUCGGGAACCGUGAGACAGGUGCUGCAUGGCUGUCGUCAGCUCGUGUCGU